Molecule: ribosomal RNA, 318 nt
Filed under: Triticum aestivum (bread wheat)
Lineage: Eukaryota; Viridiplantae; Streptophyta; Magnoliopsida; Poales; Poaceae
Description: partial small subunit ribosomal RNA
Source: RNAcentral
AUGUCGACCAAGCUGGUCAGAAGCGCACUGUUGGGCCCUGUGGAGGUUCUGGAGGUAAACAAAAUACGAUCAUUCGUACUCAGCACUUCCGAGUUUCUGAAGGAAGUUUCUGGAACAUUCGCCCUCUAUGGCAGAGACAACCACAACAUAAUAACAUCACUGAAAUUUGUCACACACGUGAAGUCAUACGGGCCUUUCGGACAAGCGAAGGGAACCACUUUCACCAUACCCGUGCAAAAGACUAGCAGCAUCGUGGGCUUCUUUGGACGUAGCGGGAUAUAUCUCGACGCGCUUGCUGUCUAUGUGCACCAUCUCUAA